AUGAAGGGCAGAGGUGUCAAAUUGAAUAAAGGGGAUGUGACCAGACUAUGGUUCGAUGAACUGGAAGGAAGGAUACCAUUUAAAGAAAAGUUUCCAGUACUUUUUGAGAUAUGUGUUGAACAAAACUGUACUGUUGAUAGAAUAGAAUGUCUAAAUCAUAUCACCUCCUUUAGGAGGAGGAUGUCUCUUGAGAUGAGGAAUCAAUGGGAUGAAAUGAAAAGGGAGGUACUGGCUCUCAAACAAAAUGAUUUACCUGAUGAAAUUUACUGGAAGUUUGAUAAUUUUGGUAUAUAUUCAACCAAAUCAAUGUACAGAUGGUUGGAAAACGAUAUUGCUGGUUCCAAUUUCAAAUGGAUUUGGGAUGCUAAACUCCCCUUGAAAAUACAAAUCUUCUUAUGA
Molecule: ribosomal RNA, 399 nt
Filed under: Triticum aestivum (bread wheat)
Lineage: Eukaryota; Viridiplantae; Streptophyta; Magnoliopsida; Poales; Poaceae
Description: partial small subunit ribosomal RNA
Source: RNAcentral